AGAGAGAGAGAGAGAGAGCGAUCAACAACUAUGGAGCCUGUAGGACACCCAAGUUCAAGUUUUUGACAUGCGUAGAGAAAGAAGGAUGAUUACUUGACAGUCGAUGGAGAGAGAGAGAGAGAGAGAGAGAGAACUAUUUAGGGAGAUUGUAGGACACCUAAUUCAAAUUUAAGCCAGUACACAUAGCGUCAGGAAUAGAUAGAGAGAGGAGAGUUGAUAGCUCCGUUCUCUAUAUGCUUCUAAAGAGAGAAGGAGAGGAAGCUUGAGAGGAUAAG
This 275-nucleotide long non-coding RNA is filed under the name Elaeis guineensis (African oil palm). RNAcentral's name for it is "long non-coding RNA (EGUI_LNC026474)". Lineage: Eukaryota; Viridiplantae; Streptophyta; Magnoliopsida; Arecales; Arecaceae. The record is from RNAcentral.